UGGCGGCGUGCCUAACACAUGCAAGUCGAGCGAUUACUUCGGUAAAGAGCGGCGGACGGGUGAGUAACGCGUGGGUAACCUGCCUCAUACACAUGGAUAACAUACCGAAAGGUAUGCUAAUACAGGAUAAUAUAAGAGAUUCACAUGGAUUUCUUAUCAAAGCUCCGGCGGUAUGAGAUGGACCCGCGUCUGAUUAGCUAGUUGGUAAGGUAAUGGCUUACCAAGGCGACGAUCAGUAGCCGACCUGAGAGGGUGAUCGGCCACAUUGGAACUGAGACACGGUCCAAACUCCUACGGGAGGCAGCAGUGGGGAAUAUUGCACAAUGGGCGAAAGCCUGAUGCCAGCAACGCCGCGUGAGCGAUGAAGGCCUUCGGGUCGUAAAACUCUGUCCUCAAGGAAGAUAAUGACGGUACUUGAGGAGGAAGCCCCGGCUAACUACGUGCCAGCCGCUGC
This 454-nucleotide ribosomal RNA is filed under the name uncultured bacterium. Its description in RNAcentral is "bacterial SSU rRNA". It matches the Rfam family "Bacterial small subunit ribosomal RNA", at positions 37 to 518 of the family's 1533-position model. The record is from RNAcentral.